RNAcentral lists this ribosomal RNA (407 nucleotides) under uncultured bacterium. RNAcentral describes it as "partial 16S ribosomal RNA". It matches the Rfam family "Bacterial small subunit ribosomal RNA", at positions 30 to 526 of the family's 1533-position model. The record is from RNAcentral.
AUUGAACGCUGGCGGCAGGCCUAACACAUGCAAGUCGAGCGGAGCGGCGGACGGGUGAGUAAUGCCUAGGAAUCUGCCUGGUAGUGGGGGAUAACGUCCGGAAACGGGCGCUAAUACCGCAUACUAUCAGAUGAGCCUAGGUCGGAUUAGCUAGUUGGUGGGGUAAAGGCCUACCAAGGCGACGAUCCGUAACUGGUCUGAGAGGAUGAUCAGUCACACUGGAACUGAGAAACGGUCCAGACUCCUACGGUAGGCAGCAGUGGGGAAUAUGGGAAAAUGGGCGAAAGCCUGAUGCAGCCAUGCCGCGUGUGUGAAGAAGGCCUUCGGGUUGUAAAGCACUUUCAGCGGGGAGGCGUUACCAGCAGAAGAAGCACCGGCUAACUCCGUGCCAGCAGCCGCGGUAAUUC